UAUUAGCUAGACUAUCAGCACAAUCAUUCGCUUCUCAAUAAAUAUGAGUCACUAUAACAUUCAUGUUUCUCAUCAACACUUUAGCAUUAAAUCAUCUGUUCCUUAAUUAGGGGCCAAGGAAUCAUGGUAUCUGAUUUGAAGGCAAGCACUACUAAAGCAGAAUCUGAUUCUAGCCAAAGAUUAUUCCAAUUAUGAUGUCUAGCAAUCUCAAUAGCUCUUAGAAACACCAAAUAACUCAGCAAAGAAAGUUGUGCGAUGAGGAAUCUGCUCAGCAAAACAACCAACUAAUUCAGCACAGUGGUCUCUGAAAAUACCACCUCAAGAUGAAUUAAGCUGAGAUAGUAGAAGCUCCAUCUAUGUUCACUUAAUCCAAUUGACUAAGGGAGGAUGCCAUUACACUUCUGUAAUUCUAGGAGCCUUUGGUGGAUGAACAGUCACUUGAACUUUUUAAGAAUGCAGAAGUCAGUUACUGAAGGUUAGGAAAUAAUUAUUUUUAUUGUAAUUAUAAUAAAAAUAAUAAUAAUAAUAUCACAACAUUUUGUGCUCUACUUUUUUGAGCCAGGAGCCCUAGUCUCCUUCAAAAAUAAUAUCAAUUGAGUCAACCAAGUUUUUAUAUUUAAAUUUGAAGAUAGUAGAUGUUAGGGGCCAUGCAAACCAAGAUCAGGUUGUAUGUUGUCACUGCUUCACGUGGUUUUACGCAGUAGGCAAUCUCGGUCAUUGAAAAAUGAUCAGACGAUUUUGAUUCACUACCUACAAUUUUCUACAUUUUUUUUCUUAUCCGUUCAUUUUUUAUCGGAAAGUGGAACACAAUUAGUGAUGCAGUUAAGAAUUUGUUUGCUUGCAAACCAAAAACUAAUAAAUGUGUUUUAUUCAAUACAAAAGACAAAAUUAUAUAUUUAUUUUACCAAAAGAAAAAGAAAAUUGUACAUAUACAAACACAAACAUAUCAGAUUUCUUUAUUGAUAUGCAUAUGAUUUUUUUUGUGGUUACAUUCAUAUGCAUAGGAUUGUUGAACCAACAACAUACAAAGAAAUGGCCAUAAAACAAAAUGUUUUUCAUGGCAACCUUGAUUGUUGUUCAUAUGUACUCAAUAGGUAUUGUCCAUUUGUAAUAAUCACACCAAUACUUUGAUGCGCGUGGAGCAAUAUUAAUAACAACCAAAACUAAUGGGAUAAGAAUAAGGUUUAGCGGCGCAGCUUGUUGUCCGUCUAACUUUUGUUCAUAUGUAAUUAUUAUAAUUAUAAUAUAUAUAAUAUCAUAUUCUAAGCAUCUUUAUAAGUGUAUGGAAUUGGAAAAUUUGUUUGGCCACGACCACGAGCACUAUAGAAGCAUGUAUAUGGCAAACAAAUUAAACAGGUCUUAAUCAAUUUAUCAUACAUCGUAAGACACACCAUAAAAAUAAAUAUAAGCACAAAGUUAGGCAUUCGUAAUGUAAUAUUAGUGAGACAUUUUACCCUGCAAUUCUAUAUAAGCUAUUAAGGCUUGUAACAUUGAAAUAAGGUAUCUUCGUUUUCCACAUCUAUUUUAAUAUAUGCUAAAUUUAUAAGUAAAAUAAAUAAGUAACUUUCAUAUUAAAUAUAGACAUUAUUUAUUAAAGUAGCUAAUUUUAACUAUAUAGUGAUAUUGUAAAAAAAAAACUCAUGUUAUGACAUUGUUGUUUUAUGUAUCUUAUAUUAUUGAAUGAAGGUAUAGUUGUAUAAUAUAAUAAUACAUUUUUGGGCUUCACUAAAAGAUAAAUCGUUCGUAAGAACUCGAAUUCGAUUUUUGAGUGGAAAAUUUUCUUGGCCAAAUUCCCCCAUUUCCCCUUGUAGGGGGCUUUCCAUAUUCGCAAUCACAAACAUAAUUAAAGCACCUCACAACCCAAGGAUAGACACAGAUAGAUCUUGGACAAUCACCGUGUCUAUCGCAACCAACUUCUGCAAAGUCAAAUAAAAAUAAAUGAAUAAUACAAAAAUAAAAAUAAAUGCUAUGAGGUAAAAAGGUAAACAAUGUCCAGUAUUACUUACUUCCGUUGGUUACCACUAGAAAAAGAGAAAGAAUAAUGAACAGAUUAAAAAUUUGAGCCAUAUUUUCGCAUGAAUAAAAAUUUGUUUACACAAUUUAUAAUGUAUAAAUUUGUUGCUUGGAUAAUUUCAGGUAAAGAGUUUUUAGCUCU
This 2155-nucleotide long non-coding RNA is filed under the name Trifolium pratense (red clover). RNAcentral's name for it is "long non-coding RNA (TPRA_LNC012191)". Lineage: Eukaryota; Viridiplantae; Streptophyta; Magnoliopsida; Fabales; Fabaceae. The record is from RNAcentral.